GGAGAGAUGGCCGAGUGGUUUAAGGCACACGCCUGGAACGCGUGCGUAGGUUAAUAGCCUACCGAGGGUUCGAAUCCCUCUUUCUCCGCCA
Molecule: transfer RNA, 91 nt
Filed under: Pseudomonadota bacterium
Lineage: Bacteria; Pseudomonadati; Pseudomonadota
Also listed under: 1 other name
Description: tRNA-Ser
Rfam family: tRNA
About the family: Transfer RNA (tRNA) molecules are approximately 80 nucleotides in length.
Source: RNAcentral